RNAcentral lists this long non-coding RNA (934 nucleotides) under Cyanistes caeruleus (blue tit). RNAcentral's name for it is "lncRNA (ENSCCEG00000019834.1)". The record is from RNAcentral. Lineage: Eukaryota; Metazoa; Chordata; Aves; Passeriformes; Paridae.
GAAAUGUCUGUGAGAUGAGAGAGUGCUUGGAAAGGAAGGGAGACUCUCCAGAGCAAAGGGACACACAGGGAGGGGAGCCCAGCAAUGGGAGCAUCUGUGGCACAGUGCAGACUGCUGAGAAGGAACAGGGACAGACAAACUGACAAAAGUGCAGUGUCAGAGACUUCUCCUGCUGCAUAGAGAGGACUGUACAAUCUUCUAAAACACAGAAAGUGGCCGAGUCAGAAUUAAGGAGCCUAAGAGGAUUUAUUCACUAAAACCACAGCAGUGUCUGUGUGGCAGGACUUUACCCCAUGAGAAAGGAUGGCCCAUGGGAGUGGCAGGUGUGUGACACACAGAGGGACACUGGCCAUCCUGUUACUGCUGCCACUGUAGGAGGCAUGAGAAGCCCUCCAGAACGUGGAUACUUCAAAAUAAUCUCAGCUCAGGCAAUUGAAAGGCAGCUUUAAAUGAUGAGGUUAAAAUAACACUGGCUGGUGCUAUCCACAAAGACCUGCACAUAUCUUACUGAAGUGCAGCCAAGAUCCAGCCAUCAGAAUCUGUAGUCAGAUAAAAGUCACAGGCAAAGGCCUGAUGGAAUAUUUUGUCAUUAGAGAAUUAAAGAAUAGUAAUUUCUAUGGGAAAAGUAAUUGUAAGCAUAUUUACAAAUAACUUAUCUCCGUAUUUAGUAGGGUGGAGAGUGUUCCCCCUUCCAAUUAUAUUCGACAUAAAAUAAUUAUUUUUCUUUUAAGAGCACAUCUAGUAAAAUGAAUAUGAAAAAGCUGUCAGGCAUGCAAUUGCAAUGGUACAGAAUGAAAAGCUGGGAAGUGAAAAAGAUGGCAUAUUGAGAGAGACAUCUAAUUUCUGAGUCCUGAAGUUAAACUUGGCUGCACAUUGCACUCUUAAAAAUAAUAGCAGAAAGGGAAGAAGAAAAUAAAUCGGAUAGAAUUUGUCA